Chlorocebus sabaeus (green monkey) is the source of this 100-nucleotide small nuclear RNA. The record is from Ensembl. NCBI's taxonomy places the organism in Eukaryota, Metazoa, Chordata, Mammalia, Primates, Cercopithecidae.
GUGCUCACUUCAGCACAUACACUAAAAUUGGAACGAUACAGAGAAGAUUAGCAUGGCCCCUGUGCAAGGAUGACAUGCUUUUAAAAUAAAAAAAAAUUUU